Gopherus flavomarginatus (Mexican gopher tortoise) is the source of this 991-nucleotide long non-coding RNA. RefSeq lists it as uncharacterized. The transcript is spliced from 3 exons. The record is from RefSeq and is a predicted model, not a curated record. NCBI's taxonomy places the organism in Eukaryota, Metazoa, Chordata, Testudines, Testudinidae.
CCUCUGUCUCACAGCCGUGGUGAGGCACAUUUUUCAGGUCUGAGAACACCCCAGAGAACUUUGAACACAUCUACUAACUUCAAAGCAAGAAACUCAAGAGACUUGCAACAUAUCUUGCUUCCAUGGCCUAAACAGUAUAAUCAGUGACUUUAUCCAGGACUGCACGAUAAUGUUCAUGUUCGCUGGGGAAUAGAGCAUAACGAUUUUUACACAGCGGCACCAUCAUGUUUUAAUCCUGCAUACUCCACAAAUAUCAGCCUAGGUCUUCUGCUUUUUUUAUGCCAACCAGAAAAAAGAAAGGAAGGAAAAGAAAUUUGUUUAAAAAUGCAGACGGAAGGAAAAUUCCAAUAGCAUUUUAUUCCAUAAGUAAUGCCAUUAAAGUUGUUUGGGUUCCACACAAAUAGAAGGACUGAGAUAUAGGAGACUGAGACAUCAAUUAGGUGAUUAUGGGAUACAAUUAAUGAAAAUGAUUCUGAGAGAAUGAGACUGAACACAGUCAAUAUAUACAUCAAAGGUAAAUCCAGAAUCAAGAGGAAGUGCUAUUUUUGAUUUCUCAGAAAACAAUAUUCUCUACUUAUAUGUUGCCAUUUAACUAAACGAUCUCAGUGUGCUUUUCAACGUAUUAUGCCCAUUUCCCAGAAGGGGUCAUAAAUGCACAGAGAAGUUAUAGCCUUCAUUUUCAACGAUCCACUUAUUUUAAGUGCUUAAUUUGAGACACUUGGGGCCUAGUUUUCAGAGGUGUUGAGCACUCACAACUCCAGUUGAAGUCCAUUGGAAUUCUGGGUACUCACACCUCGGCAAAUUAUAAAGGAUUGUUGAAACAUGUCCUUUCCACUGGAGAAAGCACUGGAGGGUAUGCUGAAGGAAAUAGUCUUCCAUGGACAGGGGACAGACAAGAUGCCCUAAUAGAAAGACAAGAGUAUGCAACAGGGCGAAAAAACAAUGAUAGCAACCACAUAGAAAAAGGAAACCAAAGUCACACUGGACACAG